CUGCCUACUCUGCAGGGGUGAGAUACCAUGAUCAUGAAGGUAGUUCACCCAGGCGCAGGCCUGGCCAUUGCACCCUCGGUUGUGCUGGAUCUAAGACUUCAAAUGUGGGAAUCGACUCAGCAUAAUUUGAGGUAGUGGGACUGCGCCCGCGCCUCCCUG
This is a small nuclear RNA of Hippoglossus stenolepis (Pacific halibut), 159 nucleotides long. RefSeq annotates it as U1 spliceosomal RNA. Lineage: Eukaryota; Metazoa; Chordata; Actinopteri; Pleuronectiformes; Pleuronectidae. The transcript has a single exon. The record is from RefSeq and is a predicted model, not a curated record.